UUGGGUGAAAUCAAUGUGGGUUCCACAUUUUGGAAAUGAGUCCCACAUGAAGUGGUGGGACUGACAUUAAUUUCAUCAAA
RNAcentral lists this microRNA precursor (80 nucleotides) under Medicago truncatula (barrel medic). RNAcentral's name for it is "MIR5269 microRNA precursor family". It matches the Rfam family "MIR5269 microRNA precursor family". Lineage: Eukaryota; Viridiplantae; Streptophyta; Magnoliopsida; Fabales; Fabaceae. The record is from Rfam by way of RNAcentral.